RNAcentral lists this ribosomal RNA (678 nucleotides) under uncultured ciliate. RNAcentral's name for it is "SSU rRNA". It matches the Rfam family "Eukaryotic small subunit ribosomal RNA", at positions 319 to 1019 of the family's 1831-position model. Lineage: Eukaryota; Ciliophora. The record is from RNAcentral.
CUUGAUGGUAGUGUAUUGGACUACCAUGGCGAUUACGGGUAAUGGAGAAUUAGGGUUCGAUUCCGGAGAGGGAGCCUGAGAAACGGCUACCACUUCUAAGGAAGGCAGCAGGCGCGUAAAUUACCCAAUCCUGACUUAGGGAGGUAGUGACAAGAAAUAACGACUCGGGACUUAUAAAGUUUACGAGAUUGUAAUGAAAACAAUUUAAAACACUCAAUGAGGAACAAUUGGAGGGUAAGUCUGGUGCCAGUAGCCGCGGUAAUUCCAGCUCCAAUAGCGUAUAUUAAAGUUGUUGCAGUUAAAAAGCUCGUAGUUGAAUUUCUGUCCGGCCGCCGUCCUUUUAGGAUUGUAGUGGCUCGGACAUCCCCCUUGAGAUCAUGGUACGUUUUUUGGUGAUCGGCUAUGAAAUCAGGGAUUUUAUUUUGAAAAAAUUAGAGUGUUUCAAGCAGGUUUGUGCUGGAAUACAUUAGCAUGGAAUAAUAGAAGAUGACUUCGGACAUUUUGUUGGUUAUUGUCAGAAGUAAUGAUUAACAGGGACAGUUGGGGGCAUUAGUAUUUAAUUGUCAGAGGUGAAAUUUAUAGAUUAAUUAAAGACUAACUUAUGCGAAAGCAUUUGCCAAGGAUGUUUUCAUUAAUCAAGAACGAAAGUUAGGGGAUCAAAGACGAUCAGAUACCGUC